Molecule: ribosomal RNA, 378 nt
Filed under: Clostridioides sp. ZZV14-6104
Lineage: Bacteria; Bacillati; Bacillota; Clostridia; Peptostreptococcales; Peptostreptococcaceae
Description: bacterial SSU rRNA
Rfam family: Bacterial small subunit ribosomal RNA
Source: RNAcentral
UUAUUUGAGAGUUUGAUCCUGGCUCAGGAUGAACGCUGGCGGCGUGCCUAACACAUGCAAGUUGAGCGAUUUACUUCGGUAAAGAGCGGCGGACGGGUGAGUAACGCGUGGGUAACCUACCCUGUACACACGGAUAACAUACCGAAAGGUAUGCUAAUACGGGAUAACAUAUUUGAGAGGCAUCUCUUGAAUAUCAAAGGUGAGCCAGUACAGGAUGGACCCGCGUCUGAUUAGCUAGUUGGUAAGGUAACGGCUUACCAAGGCGACGAUCAGUAGCCGACCUGAGAGGGUGAUCGGCCACAUUGGAACUGAGACACGGUCCAAACUCCUACGGGAGGCAGCAGUGGGGAAUAUUGCACAAUGGGCGAAAGCCUGAUG